RNAcentral lists this non-coding RNA (90 nucleotides) under Heterosigma akashiwo. The record is from RNAcentral. Lineage: Eukaryota; Raphidophyceae; Chattonellales; Chattonellaceae.
CAAAAAAGAAAAGAAAUGCAAAUAAAAAUGAUACGAGAAGAGGUAGCAAUAGCCUACCUGAACUAUUUCUUUUUUUUUGCUUUUUGCUUU